This 7088-nucleotide long non-coding RNA is filed under the name Lactuca sativa (garden lettuce). Its description in RNAcentral is "long non-coding RNA (LSAT_LNC006014)". The record is from RNAcentral. Lineage: Eukaryota; Viridiplantae; Streptophyta; Magnoliopsida; Asterales; Asteraceae.
UUGGGUUUUGAGCAUUCUAACACUCCUAAGUGUACAUGCAACCCUAAAUACCUUGGAUCUAUGUUUUCUGUAUUAUACAUGCAAAUAUGAACAUCCAAGGUAUUAUCCUAAUCUAGCAUACAAAACAAUAACUAUAGCAAGAUAGAAUACAUACCUUUUUGGUGUAGAAAGUCUUCAUGAAGCUUGAGUGCCUAGUGCCCCAAGUGUGACACCUCAAAUGGAAUCACAAUCAUCAAAACACUUAGAAUAGCUUGAGAGAAUUCUACAACUCAUGAAAUCGGCUAGCCCUCUCUUUUCACACUCUAGUGUGAUUCUAGUGACCGAUUUUGCCAAGAAUAAUAUCUUUAUAUAGUGUUACAAUUAGGGCAAACCCUAAUUGUCAUGACUUUCCAUUUCCUUGGAUCCAUGGGUUCAAAUACACCAUGGAGCAUCCAUGGACCAUCCUAUGGGUUUUAGCCCAACUUGAUUAUCCAUGGAGCAUUAGCCCACUAUACAAGUAUGGAUGAUUUACACAAUCAACCCAUAUAUUUAAUUAGUCUUCUUUUGAUCACUUAAUUAAUCCUAGAUUAAUUCUUGAUCAAUACUAAUUAAAUAAUCUUAUUAUUCUUAUUAUUAAUAUACUAGAACUUAUAAUAUAUUAAUAACCAUAAGUGUCUUAUUUCUCUCAUUAUAGUCUAUCCAAGUGCAUGAUGGUAUGCAACCCAAAUGGACCAUGCCGGGUCGGGUCAAGUCUUACCAAUUAUAGUUAUGGACUUAGACAUUAAUCCAACAGUCUCCCACUUGGAUAAGUCUAAAACUAUUAUUGCGUAUGACUUCAGGAACCAACUGGCAAUCGUAGCUCUCAAAAGCUUCUGUCGAACUCUGACCUUGUAGAUGAACUCUGACCUUUGUCAAUGACUUGUCCAUUAGAUAAGGGAUCAUAUAUUCCUCCAUUCUAGAUAUCAUAUGGACUGAGACAUGGAUUAUAAUCAUUCUCUCUGUCCAUUUGUUGUUUCCCGAUUUCCGAUUUAUGACGACUGACUAAUUGAACAAAUCAAAUCAGUCCUGGCCCGGCCGAGCACUUCCAUUUGUCAUCAUCAAAUCAUCGAGGGGCCCACAGAUAUCGCUUUUAUCCCGAAGGUAAAAGGAAUGGAUAAACUUCGACUCAUAUGGCUUGUUCUACUACUUGUUGAAUCAUACACAAAGGCACGUUUUAUAGCACCGAGUUACCAAAUGCGUUUUCGUGCAAUCAAUGUACUAUCAACUCAUAGUAACAACUCAUAUCUCUAGGUUUGAAGAAUAUAAGAUAUUAUCGUCUCAUGAUCACUCGUGAUAAAAUCCAUGAAGUGAUUCCAAUGAGCGCGGGUUGAAUCCAAUACUCAGAACUUAUGAGCACUCAUGAGUGUUGUAGCCCUUUGUCCAACACCUUAGACCUCUACAAGCCAACCCAUGACAGUCUUAAUUCAUAUCUACUUCCAACAUAUGACCGACUGUGGAUGGUUUGAAUAACUUAGUCAUUCCGGAAGAAUAACCUAGUUUAUUCGGGAAGUCAAAACAUGCAAAGUGAAACACAAUAAUAAUUGAAUCCAAUAUGGUAUCAAAACUUUGAACAUAAAUAAAACACCUUUUAUUUAUCACCAUAUGAUUACACAUUAUUCAUUGUAUACUGUUUCAGCUAUCAACUUUAUUCUUGAAUUUAAAACAAUAGUUGUCCCAUGCUCCAAGCAUGUACACUAUGUUUUCUUAAACACUAGUCAUGCCACACACCAAGUAUGCAUACUAUGUUUGUCUAUGAUCUUUACUUUGUGAACUAGAUCAAUUGAACAUAACUUCAAUGAUUCUCUUUUCACACUCCCAAAUCCUUACUGCAAAUGCAAGAAUUCCAAAUUCAUGCCAUUUACUGAAAUCUGUUAGAUUCUAAACUUAUAUGCAUUGAUCCUCUUGUAAUGAUUAUGCACAAAGUCAGAAAGACUUGACAACAAUCAUUACAGAGUAUUCCAAAGGAGAUCAGCUCCUUGGAAACAUCCUUCUUGCAUUAAGUUUCCUAAUCUUAAACAGAUUGAAAAUUCUAACUUUGAAACAUUUCCAGAUUCCAUUUUGACUAUCACUUCUGAACAAGAGUUGCCUCCUUACAGAUUAUGUCAAUAUGGUCCUUCCAGAAUUAUCACUAUACUUCCAACUGUCCUUGAGCAACCAAUCUUUGGUAAACCUUAGAUUGUCCUCGACAAUUGUUUAAUCCUUUUAGUCAUAUCCAGUUCUAAACCUUUUCCCUUCUUAAUGCCCCAGGCAUUUGGAAAAUUUUAGAACGGAUGAAUAUAGCACAUGUAAUCGAUCCUAUAUCCGAAGCAUAUGGGACACGAUUCAUGAUGUCUUACAUAAAGACUAAACCAGUCUUUUGCUAUAAUAUUUCCAUUUCAAUUUGCCAAGUUCUCAUAAUUCAGAUUAUGAAAAGGGAUGCCGUAAUCAUAAUCGAAUUUUAGAACGCAAAUAAUGGACCCAUAUACAGAAUUUCCUUAUGUUGAGCCAUUCCAACAUGAAAUUCAUAUAUAUCCUUGACUAAAUGAUUAAAACCUCACGAUCUAAGCUUAUAGAUUUGAGAUGAAGUAUAAUUUCCUCUCCCUUAAUUAUAGCAAAACAACUUUUUCCCAAUUGAAACUUUUGUUUUCUAUAAUUAACAUUGCUAACUUGCAAUACUUCUCAUAAUUAUCAUGCUCCCACUAACAUGAUGAUUAUUAGCAUAACACUUAUGCUCCCACUAGCUUUGACAUGUACUCAGAAAUCAGCUGGACUUCUAGAAGUCAAUACUUCAUUGACUUUCUUACCACAAUUCAGAUUUCUGAUACUAAAUUGUUUUGAUAAGACUUUUAUCAAAAUCAUACACCUUCCCUUAGAUAGCACACUUGUGUGUCUAAACAAUUAUGAAGAGGGAUGCCGUAAUCAUAAUGGUUAGACCUUUUUUCCAUUUCUCACAAGUCCAGGUUAGUGUGCCGGUAAACCACACACGCUCCACUAACGACUUUGAGAAUGCAAAUAUCACAAUUGCUAUCUAGCUAAAAUCUACUUAGUGAAAGUGUUUCCUCACCAUCAUUUUCAUGAAUCGGAGAGAAACCUUAUGACACUUAGAUUUAAAUGGUGUAUGAGUUCCUACCCAUAUGAAUUUGUCAAACCAUAAUCACAAGACAAAGAUAAUGACAAAUCCAAAACCAUAUGGAUUGAACUCAAUCUUAACUUCUUGCCACCUGGCAGCUCAAGGGCCUGCCAUUGCUUCCAAGUUGUUAUGCAACAAACUGAGAACUCUAAGAACUCAUAUGCAAAGCCAACUUUAACUGGAAUGGGCACAGAUAUGUCAACACGAUAGGUUAUAAACCUCAAGUCGUGUGCUAGUGAAGAACUUUAGGUUUUAUUCUUGAUUAUUUCUUGAGACUUUCAAGACCUUUAAGACUCCCACUGUCCUCUUGACAUAUAAGACUCCCUUGUCAAACAUCCAAGAGAUAGUGCGGAUUCUAAUCAAGAAAAACACUUUACCCAAUUGGCCUAAGUUGGUCUUUGUUUUAUCCAAAACAUCACAACUUACCAAUUUCAAAUGUACAAGAGUAGAAAACUUUUACUCUUACAUUUGACAAGUGUUUUAAACCUUCUUUAAGACAUGUCACUCAAAUGACAAUCUUGGAGUAUGACUCUAAGACUUGUAUUGGAACGAAGUAUGACUCAUCUUCUUGAUUUAACCAUUUCAACAAUUCAAGUUCCUCUUCUUAGUCAUAAGAAUGCACUAAGAUUUCCUUAGAGAACUAAUUUUGAUAUGGUUUCUUAAUCAUUAAGAUGAUCACAAAACUGAUACUAAAGUACUCUCCCAUCUUUUCAGAUUUGAGAAACUUUUAUCCUUCUGCCUUAUUUGAUUCUUCUUAUCGAUCUUUAGUGGUGGACUUAAUCAGUGCACAAGAAUGUGUACUCGAUCCCUAAGUCCUUUACUUGACUCACACAUCCAUGUGAACAAGUAAUUAGUCUUAAUUUUCCAAAACUUGAAAGUUCUCAUUCAUCAUGCUAUACAACUUGCAUGAUUCCAAGUUCCGGUCCAAUUGAAACUUGGGUGAUGAGAAUCUUUCCUUAUUUGGUAAAUUUAGACAUUACCACAAAUGAAAGAAUCAAUUUCAUAUUUCCACUCUUGCUCUUAAUGGAAUCAUAUAAGCAACAAUUUUUCCUCAAAUGCCAUUGUAAGGAUAUUUUAAAAUAAAUAAAAUCAAAAAAAUUUUCUUUUAUUUUAAAACUUUGCGGAAAAACUUAUCCUUACAAUCCAUAUGAAAACUUGUUGUUAUCUAUUCCUAAGCAAUAUCUCAUAACUCCUAAGAAGUAGCUCAAGAAUCCGAUCUUCAAACUAUGCGAUAGAAAUCCAUCUACGCCAUCAGAUUCAGCAUAUUCUUUCUUUAAGUUUCUUCACUUUUCUUUGAUUCUUAAAACAUCACCAUGUGACCCAGUCACAUCAUGUAUCAAGAAUCUCAGAAUAGAAACUUAACAGAGUUAGAUAGUGGACUUUACCUGAAGUAGAGUCAAACUUAUUGACUUUAACAUCCUUAGGUAAAUUUGGCAGCUUCGCAACCAAUGCCCCUUCCUUUGGCAAUAUAAACAUAUGGACCCUUUGAUAAUGGUACACGGGACUAUCACAGACUUAGCUUUUCUCUUUACCAUUUGGUCAACCGAGUUGACUAUGGCCGAUCCCUUUCCAUUGGGAAGAGAAUGCUUUACUGGAUAUCCAAUGUCAUCAUUGUCAAUGUCCAUAAAGUUUUAGGAAGUUGAUCUUAGCAAAUAGAUAAGAUCAUUAAGGGUCUUGUCAUAGUCUGUUUCAUAGGUGUCCCAAAGGAACUCACUAUGUGACUUAGAAAGUGGUUGAACCACCAACUUUCUCAAGACUUUGACACCCAACUCUCCCGGCUUGUCAAUAUGUGACUACAUCUCCAAGAUGUGACCACACCUAGACCUUGCCUUGCCAAUAGGGCCUGAGUGACCUUAAACUUUUCAAGAACUUGUGGGUUAGGGAGAAUAAUUUGAAGAGGUGAAGAAGUAUGAUAUCCAUGGGACAUCAUCUUCAUUAGGAAACCUUGUUUCAAGAGAUUUGGGAAGAUCAUAGGUGUCUAAACCAGACAUCUUUUGGGAGAUAUUCAAGAUAGUUGAUUUAAAGUCCUUAAUAUGACACCCAAUAUGAAAUAUUAAGGCUAGGACCCAACAAACUAUUUUAUAACUUAGAAGAGGUAUGCCGUAAUCCAAGCUAUAAAAUAUUUGAAGGUAGGUGAAUGACGAUUCACCAAUUUCCACCAAGAUAAACGAAAUGUAUUAUUAGGUUUUAAUUGGUUUUGAAACUCCUAGAUCUUUGAGAUUCAUUGAACUUUUCAAAGGCAUGUUUCAAUCUCGAGUGUGCCCUUCAGGUUUUGUGACUGGGAUGCCGAGGAUCACAAAACAAGGUGUGAAGUAACCAUGCAAAUCACUUGGUACCCUUAAUAAAUUACCCCUCAAUCGAUGUGCCGGUUAACCACACACGCUCCAUCGAUACUAUGAUAAAUAUUAAGUCACCCUUUACCUACCUUGUUAAGUCCAAGUUAGUGUGCCGGUUAACCACACACGCUCCACUAACGACUUAGACAAAGUGUAAAGUGUAAUUUCAUGGAUUAGCACCUUAUUCACAUUUUUCCUAAGUAACUAAGAUUGGGUAUUAUUAAGAGUUUAGUUACUUAGUAUUAUCAUUAAUACUUUUAAUGAAGGGAGAAUUCUAGUCCUGUCAAACCCGUUCGGCUAACGACCCUCCACCAGUCAAGCAAGCGGUGGGUGAGAGUGGACACCCAUUAAGUUGCCAUUUUAUAGGCAACAACCUUAUACCCACCUUAUAGACCGGCUUCGUGAAUGAGGCGUACUAGCGGUAAGACUGACUUUACUCUUAUACAUAUAUAUAUUAUUAACUUAUAAUAUUAUAAAGUAUAAGGGUUGAAUUUUAACUUUUAAAAUUCUAAGGGCUAACUUGGAAUUAAAGUAUUCAUACUUGAAAACUUUUCAAAUUCCAAAACUUGAGGGCAAGUUUUGAAACUAUUCAAAACUAAUUAAUUCCAUAACUUAUGUGUUUAAAGUAGUUUUAAUCCAAAAACUCUUCAAGUUCCAUAACUUGAGGACAAGUUAUGGAAGACUUUAAACUAAUAAAAGAACUAACUUUUUCUUUAUUUUAUAACUUAUGGAUUUAAUUAUGGUUACAUAUUUUUCUUUAAUGAAGUGACUCUUGAACUUCCAUAACUUGAGGACAAGUUAUGGAGUCAAAAAAAAUUAUUCAAUGACACAAGACUCUUCAUUUUGUAACCAUUGCCAACUUUUAUGAGUUUUAUGAGUCUUUAAUGUGACUCUUCAUGUAACUUGAGGACAAGUUACACAAACACAUUUUAUACUCAACUCUUAGAUUAAAAUGGAUUGAAAACAACUAUUUCACUCAACAUUUCUAUUAAUCUAAGCAACUCAUAAGAACAAGAUAAUUCAAAUCAAACUUUUUCAUGUAAUUAGUCUAAACCUUAAACUAAUACAAAACAUGAAUCUAUUGACAAUUAUCUUUGAAAAUGGAUUAGCAUGAACAUUACCACAUCAAAAACAAGUUUAUAAGUUCAAAAACAACUUAGGGUAAUGUUCCUAGUCCAUUUCUAGCCAAAAAACUCGAAAAUAUGCUGUCUGGGGGUCCAACUCGUCGAGUGCAUGAACAAACUCGGCGAGUUGGAUCGAAUUCAUCACUUUUUAGGCAUGGACUCGUCGAGUCUCCUGAUGGACUCGCCGAGUCUGAUGGCCAGACAGCACCAGAUUCGUUUUUUCAGCUUCUAUUGCAGGUAUAACAAGAAAACAAGCCUAGGCUCUGAUACCACUGUUGGGUUUUGAGCAUUCUAACACUCCUAAGUGUACAUGCAACCCUAAAUACCUUGGAUCUAUGUUUUCUCUAUUAUACAUGCAAAUAAGAACUUCCAAGGUAUUAUCCUAAUCUAGCAUACAAAACAAUGACUAUAGCAAGAUAGAAUACAUACCUUUUUGGUGUAGAAAGUCUUCAUGAAGCUUGAGUGCCUAGUGCCCCAAGUGUGACACCUCAAAUGGAAUCA